RNAcentral lists this long non-coding RNA (919 nucleotides) under Marmota monax (woodchuck). Lineage: Eukaryota; Metazoa; Chordata; Mammalia; Rodentia; Sciuridae. The record is from RNAcentral.
CUAAGGAGAAGGUGACAAAGAUUUUCUCCCAUUCUAUCGACCUAGUCUUCAUUUUUUUUUUUUUUUAAAUUGGGUACCAGGGGCACUUGACUAUUGAGCCACAUCCCCAACCCUGUUUUGUAUUUUAUUUAGAGAUAGUGUCUCACUGAGUUGCUUAGUGCCUCGCUUUUGCUGAAGCUGGCUUUGAACUCACGAUCUUCCUGUCUCAGCCUCCUAAGCCACUGGAAUUAUAGGCAUGUGCCAGUGGCACUUGGAUAUCUUCAUAGUCUUAAUUGUUUCCUUUGCUGUGCACAAGCUUUUUAAUUUGAUGCCAUUUCACUUAUUGAUUUUUGGUUUUACCUCUUGCACUUUAGGAUUCUUGUUAAAGUUCCUGAGCUGACAUGUUGGAGUGUUGAGUCUACCGUUUGUUUGUUUGUUUGUUUUUUCUUCUUCUUCUAGCAUUUGCAGGGUCUGAGCCAAUACCUAGCUCUUUGAUCCACUUUUAGUUGAGUUUUGUGUUUUUAUGGGCAGUACCAUACUGUUAUUUUGUUAUUAUUCCGGCUCUGAGGUAUAUUUUAAAAUUAGGUGUUGUGAUAAUUCCAGCAUUAUUCUUUUUGCUCAGGAUUAUUUUGACUAUUCAGAAUCUUUUUUGCUUCAAUUUGAAUUUUAGGAUUUUUUUUUUAGUACUAGAUUUCUUCACUGUGAAGUUACUACUUUCCCCUUGAUAAUGGAUUAAGUAUGUUAUAGCACAAUACCUUGAGAAUAUUUAAAUAUCUUAAUUUUCACCACAUUUUGCCCACAAGUUCUAUCAUCCAUUUAUGAUCCUUUCUUGAAAUCUUUAUGACCAUGGUAUUUCUAAUUGUGGUUUUCAUCUUUUUACACUUGUUAAUAGAAUUCUAAAUGGAAGAGCUGCCCCUUCUGUUUGUUUAUUCAUUUCUGC